GGCAAGAUGGCCGAGUGGUUAUGGCGUGUGACUCAAGGACCUCUCCUUACUCGACCCAGUCGAGAGUAUUCUCAUGGGCUCUGCCCGCGAGGGUUCGAAUCCCUCUCUUGUCA
Non-coding RNA from Saxophila tyrrhenica, 113 nucleotides. NCBI's taxonomy places the organism in Eukaryota, Fungi, Ascomycota, Dothideomycetes, Mycosphaerellales, Extremaceae. The record is from the annotation of a RefSeq genome assembly.